This 490-nucleotide ribosomal RNA is filed under the name uncultured bacterium. RNAcentral describes it as "partial 16S ribosomal RNA". It matches the Rfam family "Bacterial small subunit ribosomal RNA", at positions 30 to 507 of the family's 1533-position model. The record is from RNAcentral.
AUUGAACGCUGGCGGCAGGCCUAACACAUGCAAGUCGAACGGUAACAGCAAACCGCUUGCUGUUUCGCUGACGAGUGGCGGACGGGUGAGUCAUGUCUGGGAAACUGCCUGAUGGAGGGGGAUAACUACUGGAAACGGUAGCUAAUACCGCAUAACGUCGCAAGAUCAAAGAGGGCGCCCUUCGGGCCUCUUGCCAUCGGAUGUGCCCAGAUGGGAGCAGCUAGUAGGGGGUGUAACGGCUCACCUAGGCGCCGAUCCCUAGCUGGUCUGAGAGGAUGACCAGCCACCUGGGAACAGAGGCACGGUCCCCACUCCUGCAGGAGGACACAGUGGGGAAUAUUGCACAAUGGGGGCAAGCCUGAUGCUGCAAUGCCGCGUGUAUGAAGAAGGCGUUCGGGUUGUAAAGUACUUUCGGCGGGGAGGAAGGGAAUAAAGUUAAUACCGUUGCUUAUUGACGGUACCCGCAGAAGAAGCACCGGCUAACUCCGUG